RNAcentral lists this long non-coding RNA (1368 nucleotides) under Salarias fasciatus (jewelled blenny). Its description in RNAcentral is "lncRNA (ENSSFAG00005019295.1)". Lineage: Eukaryota; Metazoa; Chordata; Actinopteri; Blenniiformes; Blenniidae. The record is from RNAcentral.
GUGAUGACUUUGAUUCACACUUCCCACCGUUUAAUUCACUUUGCCCCUCCUCUCUCCUCAGAGUGCUACACUGCCAACGGAGAAGACUACAGGGGCUUUCAGAACCAGACCAGCCUUCACGGUGGGAAACCCUGCCUCUUCUGGAACGAGACCUUCCAGCACCCUUACAACACCCUCAAGUACCCCAAUGGAGAGGGAGGUCUGGGCAGCCACAACUACUGCAGGAAUCCUGAUGGGGAUGUUCAACCGUGGUGCUACAUUGCCGAUCACGAGGAUGGCAUCUACUGGCGGUACUGUGACAUCCCCACAUGCCAGAUGCCGGGAAACUUGGGCUGUUUCAAAGACAGCGGGGACCCGCCCACCCUGUCCGGCUCCAGCGAGACGUCCAACAAGCUCACCAUCCAGAACUGCAUCACGUUCUGCAGGAAGCAAAGAUACAGGCUGGCUGGCAUGGAGUCGGGCUACGCCUGUUUCUGUGGCAACGAGGUGGACCUGCGCAGUCACGGGGAGUCGCCCAGCAUGGAGUGUAACCAUGUUUGUUUCGGCGACCACACGCAGCCCUGCGGCGGCGACGGCUGGGUCAUCAUCUUUGACACACGUGUGGGGGCCUGCGGCGGGAACUACACCUCCCCGUCGGGGGUGAUCUACUCCCCCGACUUCCCCGACAAAUACGGGGCGGGCCGCGUCUGCUACUGGACCAUCCAGGUCCCGGGGGCCGCCGCCAUCCUCUUCAACUUCACCUUCUUCGACGUGUCCCACCAGACCGACAUGGUGGAGCUCCUGGACGGCUACACCAACCAGGUGGUGGCCCGCUUCGACUUCCGCAGCCCGCCGCUGGAGCUGGUCAACGUCACGGGCGACUUCGUCAUCCUGUACUUCUACUCGGACCGAACCAACCAGGCGCAGGGAUUCGCUCUGCUGUAUCAAGGUGAGGAUGGCCUGGAGUCAUGGACACGCACCACGUCCAACGGCCACUCCACCCAGAUCCUCUACGUGAUCACCUCCAGCCCCGGGAAACCGGAGCACAACAUGCCAGUGUGGACCAUCUACGCUCUGGCUGCUCUCCUCAUCCUCACCGUCAUCGCCAUGGUGGCCAAGCUGCUGCUGCACGUCACAGUCAAGUCCCCGAACAUCCCCACGGUGAGCGGCUCCGACAGCUGCAGCCAGAGCACGGCGUCCACCGAGCCGUGGAUCAUCUUCUACCGGCCGUCCACCAUCUCGCUCUUCAAGAAGAAGCUAAAGAACCACCACGGAGACCGCAGCCCGCUGGUGGGCAACUAGCGCGCUCGCCAAGCUCCACCUUUAAUCCGAAACGCCUCUGUCAACCCACAAAAUAAAAAAAAAAACUGCUCUGUAGGAGGAGCCGCC